CUUACAGAGGCACUUGGCCGACAC
RNAcentral lists this microRNA (24 nucleotides) under Dinoponera quadriceps. RNAcentral describes it as "dqu-miR-3782-5p". The record is from miRBase by way of RNAcentral. Lineage: Eukaryota; Metazoa; Arthropoda; Insecta; Hymenoptera; Formicidae.